This 969-nucleotide unclassified non-coding RNA is filed under the name Hevea brasiliensis (rubber tree). Lineage: Eukaryota; Viridiplantae; Streptophyta; Magnoliopsida; Malpighiales; Euphorbiaceae. The record is from RNAcentral.
CCAAACUCAAUUUUUCAUUAUGCCCCUAAUAAGUGGUUGAUUGUAUAAUGCUGAUCCAAUUUUCCAGCUUUUCUUUUCCAUAAAUGAUAAUUGCAUACAUAGCAAUCAUUGAGGGACAUGAAUCGUGCCUGGGAAAAUGCAUCUAUCUAGAGUCAUUGUGAACGGACAUCUUGCUUAUUAUCUUCUCCAAGUAAGUUGCGCUCUCAACUCAAUUUCAUACUGAAAUAGAAGUGGCAAUGGACUGGUUUUUAUCCGGAAUUGGAUUGGUCUAACCUAGAAUUGAAACCAAAUUGAAAUCAGUCAAAUUUAGAUUGAUCAAAAUUAAAUUUGAUGUGUUUAAAACUAAUCAAUCUGGUUUAAUUUUUUAUCCAAACUAAAAUUUUUUUCUUUUCAAAAAUUUAAAGAAAAUUUAAUUGUUGAAUUUGAUUAAAAUCAAAUCAAAUUGAAUCAUAUCAAACCAAAAUAGAAAUCAAAACAGAAUUAUCCCACUGUCCGAACUUAAUCUUCCUAAAAUUUUACGUUCAAUCCAACGGUGAUGUACUCCUUGAGUCAAUUCUAAUUUUACGACCCAAGAAAAACAAAUAAAUAAUGAGUAAAUACGAUAUUUCUAGUCACCUUGAUAAUUUGUGGACAAUAAUCUCUGCCAAAAUUCCUAAUGCAUCUUCUAACAAGCUAGCUACUUUGCCAUAAUUGGAGCCUCGAGGAUGAUAUUUACUCCUGAGAUUGCAAUCAUACCUCAUUAGACCUGCCUAAACAACUCGUAGAGCGGCACUUCAAAGGUCAUAUACAUCCAAGCCACGUCAUGAAACGACAUCCAAUGUAGCCAAUAGGAGCAAUCUUCAGCAGAUAACUUAGCCUCUGCCCAUUCACCUUGUCAUCCAUUAUCUAAUCACAUAUUCCAUGCCAAAAUUUAAGCCACACAAAAGAUAACAUCUCAGCCUCACCCUCUCUCCAUCAUUGUUUUAAACU